GAUGAACGCUGGCGCCGUGCCUAAUACAUGCAAGUCGAGCGAACAGACGAGGAGCUUGCGCCUCGGACGUUAGCGGCGGACGGGUGAGUAACACGUGGAUAACCUACUUAUAAGACUGGGAUCACUACGGGACACCGGCUCUAAUACCGUAUAAUAUAUUGAACCGCAUGGUUCAAUAGAGAGAGACGGCUUUGCUGUCACUUAUAGAUGGAUCCGCGCCGCAUUAUCUAGUUGGUAAGGUGACGGCUUUGCAAGGUAACGAAGCGUAGCCGACCUAAGAGGGUGAUCACCCACACUAGAGCUGAGCCACGGUCCAGACUCCUAAGGGAGGGCGCAGUAGGGGAUCUUACGCAGUAGGCGGAAGCCUGACGCAGCAGCGCCAAGUGAGUGAUGAGGGUCCUCGGAUCGUAAAGCUCUGUUAUUAGGGAAAAACAAAUGUGUAAGUAACUAUGCACGUCUUGACGGUACCUGAUCAGAAAGCCACGGCUAACUACGUG
This 497-nucleotide ribosomal RNA is filed under the name uncultured bacterium. Its description in RNAcentral is "partial 16S ribosomal RNA". It matches the Rfam family "Bacterial small subunit ribosomal RNA", at positions 28 to 507 of the family's 1533-position model. The record is from RNAcentral.